AACGCGAAGAACCUUACCAAGGCUUGACAUCCAAUGAACUUUCUAGAGAUAGAUUGGUGCCUUCGGGAACAUUGAGACAGGUGCUGCAUGGCUGUCGUCAGCUCGUGCCGUGAGAUGUUGGGUUAAGUCCCGUAACGAGCGCAACCCUUGUCCUUAGUUACCAGCACGUUAUGGUGGGCACUCUAAGGAGACUGCCGGUGACAAACCGGAGGAAGGUGGGGAUGACGUCAAGUCAUCAUGGCCCUUACGGCCUGGGCUACACACGUGCUACAAUGGUCGGUACAGAGGGUUGCCAAGCCGCGAGGUGGAGCUAAUCCCAUAAAACCGAUCGUAGUCCGGAUCGCAGUCUGCAACUCGACUGCGUGAAGUCGGAAUCGCUAGUAAUCGCGAAUCAGAAUGUCGCGGUGAAUACGUUCCCGGGCCUUGUACACACCG
This 435-nucleotide ribosomal RNA is filed under the name Pseudomonas sp. hei25-2. RNAcentral describes it as "bacterial SSU rRNA". It matches the Rfam family "Bacterial small subunit ribosomal RNA", at positions 958 to 1392 of the family's 1533-position model. Lineage: Bacteria; Pseudomonadati; Pseudomonadota; Gammaproteobacteria; Pseudomonadales; Pseudomonadaceae. The record is from RNAcentral.